GACGAACGCUGGCGGCGUGCUUAACACAUGCAAGUCGAACGGAAAGGCCCUGCUUGCAGGGUACUCGAGUGGCGAACGGGUGAGUAACACGUGGGUGAUCUGCCCUGCACUUCGGGAUAAGCCUGGGAAACUGGGUCUAAUACCGGAUAGGAGCCAUUUUUAGUGUGAUGGUUGGAAAGUUUUUUCGGUGUAGGAUGAGCUCGCGGCCUAUCAGCUUGUUGGUGGGGUAAUGGCCUACCAAGGCGGCGACGGGUAGCCGGCCUAAGAGGGUGGACGGCCACAUUGGGACUGAGAUACGGCCCAGACUCCUACGGGAGGCAGCAGUGGGGAAUAUUGCACAAUGGGCGCAAGCCUGAUGCAGCGACGCCGCGUGGGGGAUGACGGCCUUCGGGUUGUAAACUCCUUUCGCUAGGGACGAAGCUUUUUGUGACGGUACCUAGAUAAGAAGCACCGGCUAACUACGUG
Molecule: ribosomal RNA, 465 nt
Filed under: uncultured bacterium
Lineage: Bacteria
Description: partial 16S ribosomal RNA
Rfam family: Bacterial small subunit ribosomal RNA
Source: RNAcentral